UUACAGCCAUAUCAUGUUGAAACACCGGUCCCCUAUACGAUUACCGAAAUUAAGCAACGUCGAACCUGGUCAAUACCUAGAUGGGUGACCGCUUGGGAAUACCAUGUUCUGUAAG
Acanthosepion pharaonis is the source of this 115-nucleotide non-coding RNA. The record is from the annotation of a GenBank genome assembly. Lineage: Eukaryota; Metazoa; Mollusca; Cephalopoda; Sepiida; Sepiidae.